This is a long non-coding RNA of Suricata suricatta (meerkat), 391 nucleotides long. RefSeq lists it as uncharacterized. The record is from RefSeq and is a predicted model, not a curated record. The transcript is spliced from 3 exons. Lineage: Eukaryota; Metazoa; Chordata; Mammalia; Carnivora; Herpestidae.
GAUCGACCGACCUGCUGGCUGGGUCAGAACAAUCACCACUGAUUGUAAAAAGUCACAAAGGUCAUGGUUUCAUGAUUUUGUGAACCCAGAACCCAGAGCCCAAGACUCAAGGAAAGGAGUCUUCUAACAAGACUGUGAAGAAAUAACAGUUUUGGCCAGAGGCUUUCUGAGCAAGAAUGAUAUAAAAUAAAACUUGAGGAAGAGAAAGAAAAACACUCUGGACUGGUGACCCUACAAGAAGCAGAAGAGACAGAGAAGAAAGGCCACAUGAAGAAGAAAGGCCUGCAAGCCAGGAAGAGAGGCCUCACUGGAAACCAACCCUGAUGGUAACUUGAUCUUGAACUUCCAGCUUCCAGAACUAUAAGAAAAUAAAUUUCUGUGCUUUAAGUCA